GUCUCAGGGUCAUGGAUUCGAGCCCACAGUGGGCACCAAAUACCACUAG
Molecule: transfer RNA, 49 nt
Filed under: Mus musculus (house mouse)
Lineage: Eukaryota; Metazoa; Chordata; Mammalia; Rodentia; Muridae
Description: tRNA-Lys
Source: RNAcentral